AUUCAAGAUGAUUGGAAGUAUGUUGCCAUGGUGAUUGAUCGUAUUUUUCUGUGGGUUUUCACCCUGGUGUGCAUUCUAGGGACAGCAGGAUUGUUUCUGCAACCCCUGAUGGCCAGGGAAGAUGCAUAAGCACUAAGCUGUGUGCCUGCCUGGGAGACUUCCUUGUGUCAGGGCAGGAGGAGGCUGCUUCCUAGAACAAAAAGCCCAAGAGAUCCAACAAUUGAAACGAAAAGAAAAGUCCACAGAAACAUCCGAUCAAGAACCUGGGCUAUGAAUUUCCAAUCUUCAACAACCUGUUAGGAAAAAAAUAAAAAUGCAUUAAAUAAUUGUAAA
RNAcentral lists this non-coding RNA (333 nucleotides) under Pan troglodytes (chimpanzee). The record is from RNAcentral. RNAcentral also lists the same sequence under 1 other name. Lineage: Eukaryota; Metazoa; Chordata; Mammalia; Primates; Hominidae.